RNAcentral lists this long non-coding RNA (3963 nucleotides) under Fragaria vesca (wild strawberry). RNAcentral's name for it is "long non-coding RNA (FVES_LNC004315)". Lineage: Eukaryota; Viridiplantae; Streptophyta; Magnoliopsida; Rosales; Rosaceae. The record is from RNAcentral.
AAAUUGCCAAAUAUCCGAGAAAUAAAUAAAUCUCAGGAAAAGAAAUAAAUGAUCAACAGAUAAUUCAUCGCAUGCUUUUCAAUUAAAAUAAAGGUCCACUCACAAAUUAGGCCUAAGCCUGAUGACGCUCCGAGGCUUCCUCUGCUCGGGCCUCCUCUCGUCCUGUUCCAAAUAUAUAAUUAAUUUCCCACCAAAAAUCCAAUAAUUAAACAAAAUGGGCAAAAUUAAACGUGAGCCUCCCACACACUCAUCAUUGCCCAAAUUCGCCAUUCUUAACUCAAUACGGCUCAAACUUCGCCGAACAUACCGGCAGCCGUAAAAACAACUUCCCACAGAAUACAACUUAAUUGCUACGGCCGGAUUCUACAUUAAUUAACCACAAAAAAUACCAAACUUCGGAAAUUCACAAACCUAUCCAAAACUCAUCCAAAAAUUUCAUAACUCACUUCAAUAAACUCCCCUUAAUAUUCCAAAUCUAAAAACAUUAAAAUCUCCCAAACAGCUCCGGCGCCGGUGCCGGCUCCGCCGGCAGCGGCGGCCGGAGGCCGAUUUCGGCGAUUUCCAAUUCCUAUGAAAUUUUAACAGCAUCUUCCUCUCAUCAUGCUCUACAACUUUCCUAACUAGCACAAACCCAAAAUCCAAGCCUAGCUAUGCCAAUCGAACAAAAACAUCAAAAACGCCCUAGAGCUUCCACCUCAAAUUUCUCCUUACCUGAAGCAAACCGGAGUGAGUCCUUUUAGGGCAAGGCAGCUGGGUUGGAGACCUACAAAACCAUACUAAGCUUGCCCGGAUUGGUGGCCGGAGGAGGGAGUUCCGGCAAAAUGCUUCCCGGCAUCUCCGGCGGGAUUUCUCCUCUUCCGGCGGGUUAGAGGCUCGGGGGCUAGGCCGGGGAGGGAGAGGAGGUGAUGGGGGUCCGAACUGGGGUGGAGUGGUGGCUGGUGGCUGGUCGGACGGCGGCAGCUGGCAGCUGGAAGUUUUCCGGCGGAGAGGGGCUCGGGGGAACUCAAGGGAGAAAGAGAGAAGAAUGAGGGGAAGAAGAAAAAAAAACAAAGGGGGAGGCUUUGCACAGCCGGUCCAGCUACAAAAACCCCAUACAAAAACAAAAUAAUACNNNNNNNNNNNNNNNNNNNNAGUCAACGGUUAUUCAACACGGUAAAAGACUAAAAUAAUACCAAAGUAAAUAACCGUAAAAUAACUUAAGAACCGGGGUGUGACAGCGCACGAAACUACCGUUCACCACCGUCGUCGGCGCUGGACGGUGGCGAACGGAGCUCCGUGCUCACUUACGCACGUGCGCUUCAUAUCCGGGCCUCUAUAUAUAUAUAUAUAUAGAUCCUUCCACAAAGGGAUCCUUUUUUUUGACAUAUAUGAAGGAUCGGGGAUUACACCAACUGGGUUCGAAAGCAAAAUCUGGGUUCAAAGGUUUUCAAUUCGCCAAACCAGCAAAAGCUUUUAUAUGUUUUUGUAAACUCAAUUCAACAUCCAAACCUCAUUCACCCUUAUUGCUAUUUGAACAGGGGAUUCACAUGCAUGUUCAAAACCACUUAUCCAAAACCAAAUCAGCCUAACCAUCAUCACCAUAACCGAUUCAAGCUCGUCAUAUUCUAUCAUCACCACCAUCUAUCACCAAACCAAUUCAUCUUCUUCCUUGAUUGAGAAUACCCAGAAAUCAAUACCCAUAUAUGUAUUCACAUAUAUGAUAUGACUCAAAACGCACACGGCUCGGAUCUAUUGGUGUCUCUAACUAUUUAUCAUGGUUCGAGUUGUGUUACUACCAUGAGGUCUUUUCUUAUAGCAUUGGGUCGUAAAUGAUUCGACUCAAUCCAAAUUCAUCAAAAGCCUUUGAUUAUGGUGCUUGUUACGGUUGUUAAGGCAAUUGAUUUUGACAAGACCUAAUAACAAAAGUUAAAAUAUCACGAAUUAAAAGCAAAUAUAUCAGGUUUUUGUGUGUCAACACGCCAACACACAUUAGAUAAAGGGUACCCUUAAAUAAACGGAUUAUUUGCAUGUGCUUGUUAACAGAAAUAAGAGACUUGAUUAAUGAGACCUCAUAAUACAUGUAUCAGUUAACACAAAUAAUACCAUGACGAAACCUCCACAAUCAGGUCCCGGUAACAGCUCAGCGAGGGAGAUUUAUUUUUCAGUUUUCUAUCGAGGACGAAUGCCGCAAAAUUCUGGAAUGAGGACCUUAGUUUAUCGGCAAAGCAACUCUUGCCCUUGCCUCAUACGAUGGUGUCCAGCUUUUCAUAGAUAUUUGAGAGUUUCUACUCUAGUUUGGGUUGAACUGUUUGGCCUUCCUCCUCGUUUGCAUAUUGAGAAAGUCGUUGAAUGGAUUGGAGCGACGUUGGGGUCGGUCCUGUAUAUCGAAAAACCAUGUUUGCGUGACGACAAGGUUAGGGUUAGGGGUAGGGUUGGCCAUUUUUUCUCUUCUUAGGUGCAUGUUGGGAUAAUUCUAAAGAACAUAGAAAUAAGGAAGAAGAAGAUAACUCAAACUUUUAUUUCAUUCAUCCAUAACCGAUUUCCAUCUUUUUACCUACUACAAACUUAAAUAACUGCAUCUAAAUAACUACCUAUGAUGGGCUUGAUGGGCCAUAACCUUCAUACUACAAGCUGGGUCAAAUCUAUAAGGAGAAGUCCUACUACAAACGACGUCGACCUAUUGCAGUGAACAAAUAGAUGCCUACCUACAUAUGAUAAUUGGGAAUAUAUUGAGAAGUGAUCCCAUCAGUGCAACAUACAUGUAUAUCCUUCCUAAGUUUUUGAUUUUGAUAGAUUUGAAGCUUAUUUGUUUUAAUUACGUGCGCUUGGUUGGCUAUUGUCAUACCUGUAGUUAUUUUGAUCGUGUUGAUGCUACGCCGGAAGCUGAAUUCAGUUGAGAACCCUAACCCUAGGGUCUUAGGGCCUAAUCUGUUUGGUGGGUUGAAUGAAAGUUCAAGGCUAGGACUUUCAUCUUAGGCAGCCAAGUCUGGUCCCCCCGACAUUUACUAUCUCAAGCAUGGUCGUAGUUGUUGGUUUUCGAUCAUUCUGUUAAGCUUUGGCUCUUUUUGUAACUAGGUAACAUGUUUUUAGUUUACAAAACGUCGAUUGUUUUGCUUUCGGUUCCUUAUCUUGUAGGGCUUUAUAAGCCACCAGUUUGUUUUCAAUUCAAUAAAAGAAAUCAUUCUCCCAAUACUGAGAGUUUUAUUGGUUUGAGUUCAGAAUAGAUGCUUUAUGCAUUUUCGUAGUGUUGUUUGUCCACUUUUCUAGACGUAGUUUUUUCUUUUUUUGUAGAUUUCCUUAAGCUGUUUAGUUGUAGUCGAAUAAUGAGUUUGCUCUUAGGUUGUAUUGGAGUUUGCUCUUGCCUGAUCUAGCAAUAGUUGGUCGUAUGGCCUUUUCGGCCACUAAAAUAUAUUCAUUAUUGUCAAAAAAAAAAAAAAAACAACACAUUAGAUAACAUGGCAGCUCAUGUGCGGGACUAAAAAUGCGGUACAGAAAGGGACAAAAUAAUGACAACCAUUUGGAUUUUUAAUGAGACAAUCUAACGGACACAGAAUCAUAACCCUUAAACCCGAAUUAUCACAUACCCAUCACCCUAAAGCGCCUCUUUCUUUGGCCAAACUGCUCCUAUUCGGACUACUUACAUAUGUAAGCCACCGGUUUGUUUUCAAUUCAAUAAGAGAAAUCAUUCUCCCAAUACUGAGAGUUUCAUUGCUUUGAGUUCUUGCUUUUAACAGUUUUGGUAUCAGAGCCCCAUCAAGGGCCUGAUCAAGAGUGGUUAGGAAUCACAACUUCCUAACGAGAAUGUGAAGGAAAGGAAGGAGAGAAAAGGUAAAAAAGAGAUAGCGACAGAAGGAGGGAACUUUGUCACUACGACUAUUGGGUGAUGUUUAUGGAGAAUUUUCUCCGGUCAAAGGAGUAUUGGCAUCUGGUGGAGAUAGGGAUGAAAGCGUAAAUCUGAAACACUCCAUAUAAUUACAUACAAAC